AUAUGCUUGUCUCAAAGAUUAAGCCAUGCAUGUCUAAGUUUAAGCAUUAAACGGUGAAACUGCGAAUGGCUCAUUAAAUCAGUUAUCGUUUAUUUGAUAGUACCCUACUACAUGGAUACCUGUGGUAAUUCUAGAGCUAAUACAUGCUGAAAAAUCCCGACUUCUGGAAGGGAUGUAUUUAUUAGAUCCAAAACCAAUGGCCUUCGGGUCUCCUUGGUGAAUCAUGAUAACUGCUCGAAUCGCAUGGCCUUGCGCCGGCGAUGCUUCAUUCAAAUAUCUGCCCUAUCAACUUUCGAUGGUAGGAUAGUGGCCUACCAUGGUCGCAACGGGUAACGGGGAAUUAGGGUUC
This 349-nucleotide ribosomal RNA is filed under the name Crypthecodinium cohnii. Its description in RNAcentral is "partial Eukaryotic small subunit ribosomal RNA". It matches the Rfam family "Eukaryotic small subunit ribosomal RNA", at positions 26 to 378 of the family's 1831-position model. Lineage: Eukaryota; Dinophyceae; Gonyaulacales; Crypthecodiniaceae. The record is from RNAcentral.